Molecule: long non-coding RNA, 5203 nt
Filed under: Canis lupus familiaris (dog)
Lineage: Eukaryota; Metazoa; Chordata; Mammalia; Carnivora; Canidae
Description: lncRNA (ENSCAFG00030019186.1)
Source: RNAcentral
AUGGUGCUUGUAUCUGGCAGCCAGCAAGCCGCCAACUUUCUCUUCUGCAAGCAGACAGACACGGUGUUUCUGCUGUGCCAUCUUAUCACAUUGCUGGUCUGCGAGCUCUUGGGAAGCAAGGACUCUCUUAUGCAGAGUUGUAGCUCAUGGUUCGCAGCACACUGCCUUCUACACGGUGGGCGUUGGAUGUAUGAAGAAAUGAAGGAAGGAAGGAACAAAAACUCUAUGUCUUCUAUCCUGAAGAAAUUUAUGAUGAAGACUUUUGCUCUUCUCCCAGACUAUUUAAAACCUCAAUAAAAAAGGAAAAGGAAUAAGGUCAAAAGAUAUGUUACAUGAAUAUAGGGUAGUACAGAGAAGGAAAUGAUUUAUAUCCUGAAAGCUUUUGAUCUCAGAAAAAAAUUAAUACUAAGUUAUACAUUUGUUGGAAGAACAGUAGAAUGAGAAUAAAUGCAAUAAAAGUGUGAGCAAAAGAAAGUGUGAGGAAAAGUGCAUAAAACUGAAUCUUGAUGUUUUUAUAUCUUUUCAGCUUUCUUACAUAGGUUUCUAGAUUUUAUUUAAAGUAUGCAAAUGGUGCUAAUAAAUGAGUAAUGAAUAGUGUUACCUUUUUUUCCCAGAGUUUUUAAAAUUACUUAUGAACUUUAUUUCAUCUACCUUUUUUCCCUUAUACUUAGGAAAGUCUACCUAUUGAACCAAUUACUACUAAGCCUGGAAAUAAUCCUCAGGAAACAUCCCAAAUUGCAGGGAGAACAUCCAAGCUGAAUUUUCAGUCUCUAAUAAAAAUAAUACCAGUCAGUUCAUUUAUUUUUAAAGAUUUUAUUUAUUUAUUCAUGAAAGACACAGAGAGAGAGAGGCAGAGACACAGGCAGAGGGAGAAACAGGCUCCAUGCAGGGAGCCCGAUGUGAGACUCGAUCCCAGGACCCUGGGGAUCACACCCCGAGCUGAAGGCAGAUGCUUAACCACUGAUCCACCCAGGGAUCCCAACCAAUCAGUUCAUUAAAAUUGCUCUAAGUUUUAGUGGAGAAAAUUUUGUAUGCAUUUUUCUUUUCCAGUUCUGCUGGUUUUCCUCCUUAGGGUGAACAGUUUAGAAAAUCAGCAAUGAAGAGAAAACUAUGCCCCUUAUACACUGAAUGAAUUGUUACAGUUCAGAUCACAAACUACACUUUUUUUGUGAGAGAGAGAGAGAGAGAGAAUGAAUAAGGAGGGGAGAUGGGCAGAGGGAGAGGGAGAGAGAGAGGACCUUAAACAGACUCCAAGUCAGCACAGAUUUCAACCCUAGACUCCAUCUCACAACUCUGAGACCAUGACAUGAGCCAAAAUCAAGAGUUGGGUGCUUAACUGACUGAGCCACCCAGUCGCCCCACAACCAUGCUUUUUUAAUUCUAUAAAAGGAAAUUCUUUCUUAUUCAAGAUUUAUUUAUUUAUUUAUUUGUUUAUUUAUUUAUUUAUUUGAGAGAGAGAGAAAGAAAGAGCAGAGAAUGGGGGUGGGUAAUGGGGAGGGGCAGAGGGAGUGAGAAUCUUUAAGCUGACUCUGCAGUGAGUGUGGAACCCAAUACAGGACCCCAUCUCACAACCCUGAGAUCAUUACCUGAGCAGAAACCAAGACUCCAACGCUUAACCGACUACACCACCGAGGCACUCCAGCAGAAGGAAAUUCUAAAUGGGCCAGAGUAUCAAGAAAGUUGGUUAAAGCAAUCUUAACUUGCCAGAACUGGCGCUUUUUAAAAAAGUAAUUAGUAAGGGAUCCCUGGAUGGCUCAGCAGUUUAGUGUCUACCUUCAGCCCAGGGCAUGGUCCUGGAGUCUUGGGAUCAAGUCCCACGUCGGGCUCCCUGCAUGGAGCCUGCUUCUCCCUCUGCCUAUGUCUCUGCCUCUCUCUCUCUCUCUCUCUCUCUCUGUGUCUCAUGAAUAAAUAAAUAAAAUAUUUUUUAAAGUAAUUAGUAAUAACCAUUGCUAUCAGGUACUUUUUUAUUUUUAUUUUUUUCAGGUACUUUUUAAAAAACAGAAUUAUUUUUAUCUAUUUAUUUGGUGAAUCAUUUUUUAUUCACUCAUUUUUUUUUUCAAAAACUUUUUAUUGAGGGUCAAUUUUGUGCUAAAUGUUCUAAGCGCUGAGGCUAUGACAUGGAACAAAAUGAUGGUUCUGAUCAUAGAACUUAUUUUCUACUGAGAGAGAGAAAUAAUAGCCAAAUUAAACAGCAAAUAUGUAAUGUCAGAUUGUGGUAAGCACUAAGGAAAAGAAGAGUAAGGCAUGACAAGGAGCAUAGAGGGAGUUGGGGAUUCGCAAAUACAGUACCAGAUACAACAUCACAUGAAUAAAAACCUGAAGGAAGUAACAGAGCAGUUCAUGCAGAGAUUCCCCGAGGAGGAGCAGCCAGUGCAAAGGCUCUGAGGCAGCAGCAUACCUGGCCCAUCCACAGAAGCAGAUGGAAGCCACGAUGGCAGGAGGGAAGGAAGUGACAGACCAAGUGUAAGACAGAAGUUGUAGGAUGGAGAGAGGGCUGGGAGACAAACACAGACAAACAUUGUGGGCCAUUGUAAGAACCUUGGCUUGUCUUCUGGGUGAGAUAGAAGUCAUUGGAGAGUCCUGGAGGAACAACCAGCCGGAUCAUAGAAGAACCAAAAAAUGGUUUUCCUCCAAAGUGAAGAAAGUGAGGUGCUUCCAGAAAGAGAGAGAACUCAACUGUAUCCAGUCAUCGAGGGAGUUGAGGACUGAGAAUUAGCCCUUUGAUUUGACAAGAAGGGGUUCAGUAGUGACGCUGACAGGAACCUUGCGAAUGGCACAGUAAGAGCAACAAUCUGGAGCAAGUUCAGGCCUGAAAGGAAGAAUAAGAAUCAGAGCCAUUUUUGAAGAGGUUUGCUCGAAAAGAGUUAAGGCAAUAUCAAAAGGGAGAUUCAGGGUCAAAUGAUUUUGGCUUUUUUUGUGAGGAGAGGAUACUAUAAUUUGUUUGCAUGUUUCGUCAUUACAGCUCACAAAUUAGAACUCUUCAGUAGCAACACAGAUUCGGAUGAAUUUGCCUGUUUUCAGAACUCUUUUGAUGGACUGAUGUGACUCAUUCGUCUCUUAGUAUCCUAUGGGCUUACGGACUUUGUACCUCAUAACAUUAGAAACAUAUGUCCUACUGGUCUUUUCUAAACCUUUUAACCCACCGUCUGCUCUGGAAUCAUCAGUAAAGACCUGAAAAUUAGAGAUGUGCUGUGCGUGUGUGUCUGUGUACAUGUGAGAGAGACAGACAGAGAGAGACAGAGAGUUGAGAAGCAAGCUGUACAUUACUUAAAAUUUGAUAUUUAUAAUCCUUUUUGGCCAAACUUCUAAAAAAAGAAAUUGAUCAAGCAGGAAAACAGUUCAUCCAGAAAAUUAAAGUAAUGCUUCUUUUUGCAUGCAACAAUUUCUUCUGCUUAAUCUCCUUGAUCUUUCCAAAUUAACACCCUCCAAAAUUAAAUUUACUUUAGACAUGCAUAAUUUCUAAGAUUUGAUCCUAGUCAUUUCCUAUGCAGGUUUUUCAAAGAAAUCGAUGCAAUCUGUAAGGAUGGAUCAGUUGCAUGACCAGACUAUCCUAAAAGACUAAUAGUUUUCCAGCUAAAUAGAAUUAAUUUAUGUUUAGAGGAAUAUAUUGAGCAAUGUGAACCUUAAAUGUGCUUUUUUUCUCUUUCAUAUAUAUAAAUGAUAUGUGGAAUAAAAACAGUGCCUGUGUGGAGUUCGUGUAGCUUGGUGUUUGGGACUUUUUUUGUUGGCCUGAGAUGCAUUGACACACUGUUGUUCUGGGACUACGGUUCCAAGAAAAGCCAUUGUAGAUUUUUCUCUUAGGAGGUCAUGAUUGAUAUGCAAUUUUUACCCAUUGGCAUUCUUAAACUUGUUUGUCUUUUUAUUAAAGAAAAAGUGUUAGGAUAAGUAAUUGGAAGAAAAUUGUUUUUAUUCAUUAUUAUAUGGCACAAGAGAAUCAGAACAAACCCUCUUAUCCUCCUUUUUGCAAAAAUUAGAGAAGCAUUUCAGGACCUUUGUCUUGUUUCUUAUUCAUUUCUCACUAUCAGUGUCACAGGCAUCAAAACACAGGUGGGUGCUUAACUACGUUUAGACGAUAAUGGUGAUGAUGGUGGUUAUCGGUCGUAGCAAAUAUGCAACUGGACUUUCUCUCGAAUAACUGAGUUAAGGGUGGUAUUUUCCCGUAAAAUAUAGAAAGUAAGAACUUGUCCUAUACACCUAAUUUUGAAAUUCUGCUACUUCUAUAAGUGCCAUAAAGUAGCUGCCAAGGUAUUCGGUAUGGCCCAGAAGAGCUACUCACAGGCCAUUCUUGCCUAAUACAGGCAAACUUAAAAAGUAAAGUUCGAUUAAUUUUUUUCUACACCCUGCCACACAAACAACUGGUUAAGUUUGGGAAAGCAAAUGUUUUUUGUCCUAAAAUUCAUCCCUAUCUUCUAUUCCUUAAGAUCAUUAGAAUAAAAUAAUCACUCAAUAGAUCUUGUUGGAUGAACCCCAACGCCAUUACUACUACAUUCACACUGGUGUUACCAUAUAUGGAUAGAGAAGGCAUUUCUAGAAAUAGGUUAUCAUUUGUAUAUAUAAGCUAUUAUUUAUAUACAUAAGUUUUUAUUUCCAAAUAUAGGUUAAUAUAUAUAUAGCUAAAUACAGGGAAAGAGAUUAUGAGUUUAAAAAUUAGGAAUCAAGGUUUGUAGAUUCAGUUUUAACCCUGCCACAUACUGUGACCUUGAGCAAAUUAGUUAACCUCCUGGUGGCUUAAUUUAUACAUCUACAGAAGAGUAAAUUACCACCUACAUUAUUUACAGAGAGGAUGAGGAUUUACUUAACAUAGUAAUUAGUGGGACUCUAUUAUUUUGGUAAAAUUCUAGCUCAGCUGGAAAUCUGCACAGAUUUAAUUUAUGGCAAAUCUUAAUGCUGAAAUAACUACUAAUGUAUUUUUUUAAAGGAACUAUCCAACUGUAAAAUUGGCAAAAUGCUUCCCUUGGGCAAGACAAAUGAGUUUACUCUGUUGAAGCAAAUCAGCUCAUUGGAUCAGACUAUAGGACUAGAGAGUUCAAGGUCACAAGAGUAGCUCCCAUAUUGCUCAGAUACUUUCACAAACAAAACUGUCUGAGCCAUGACUUCAUUUGCAUCCCUGAUUUACAUCUUCAUCUAUUGCUCUAUAGUAUAUGGCAUAGGUCACCAAGGAGUCUGUCCUAAGAAUGUAGAUACCUCAGUAAUAUCUCUACCC